CCUACGGGAGGCAGCAGUGAGGAAUAUUGGUCACUGGACGAAAGUCUGAACCAGCCAAGUAGCGUGAAGGAUGACUGCCCUAUGGGUUGUAAACUUCUUUUAUAUGGGAAUAAAAUCUUCCACGUGUGGGCUUUUGUAUGUACCAUCUGAAUAAGGAUCGGCUAACUCCGUGCCAGCAGCCGCGGUAAUAAUGAGGAUCCGAGCGUUUUCCGGAUUUCAUGGGUUUAAAGGGAGCGUAGGUGGAGUGUUAAGUUAGUUGUGAUAGUUGUGGGCUCAACCGUAAAAUUGCAGUUGAAACUGGCAGUCUUGAGUACAGUAGAGGUGGGCGGAAUUCGUGGUGUAGCGGUGAAAUGCUUAGAUAUCACGAAGAACUCCGAUUGCGAAGGCAGUUCACUGGACUGUAACUGACACUGAGGCUCGAAAGUGUGGGUAUCAAACAGGAUUAGAUACCCCAGUAGUA
This 460-nucleotide ribosomal RNA is filed under the name uncultured bacterium. RNAcentral's name for it is "partial 16S ribosomal RNA". It matches the Rfam family "Bacterial small subunit ribosomal RNA", at positions 338 to 795 of the family's 1533-position model. The record is from RNAcentral.